UCCCAUUCGAGCCUCUCUCUCUCUCUCCAAGUUGGAGGUACCAUUUUUUUUUUCUUCUUUGCGUUGGGAUUGAAUCUUCCUUCUGCCAUGGAUUGACCUUUAAUUGAUUUCGAUUCUCCUAGAUGGAGACGGAAGUGAAUUAUGAUUGUCGAUUGGUGAAUAACGAUCCUAGACUUACGAACGUUAUGUGGAAGAACAAUUUCAAAAACAUAAACUUUGGAUUAAAGAGAGCUUUACGGCCUUAGAAAUAGGAGAAAAAUCCUCUCUUUUUUACAAUAUUAACGUUGGGCCUUGGAGCUAGUAGCUCUGUUGUACACAUCCAUGGUGUGGAUUGAGUGCUUACGGUGAGAAAAUUUUGGGAUCAUCUAGCUCAGAGUAUUUGCUGAGCAGCGUGUAAGUGGUUCUUCUUGCUGUGAUUGAUUCCUUUUCCACCUCGAGUUUAAUGUUAUUGGUUUGAACUUCUUUAACUCUUUUGAAUAUGGGUUGAUAUGCCGUUACUUGUCUGAUCCUGUAUACUAUUUUCAAGCGAAUGGUCACUGUCACAUAUGUGAGAAACGUAUUGAUUGAUGAUUGUGUUAUUUCCAUCUUUACAUAGGGUAGGUAAGUUGGUUUCUUUAUAUUGUGUGUUCUUCACUUCUUCUGCCCUUGUCUAUCUAAUUGUAGGGAGUAAUUAACUAGUGUGAGUUUUUGCUUCAACCUUAGGGACAUUGGACCAGGAUCUCGGAGCCAGUUGGGGGUAGACUCUCUCUCAUAGCGUUUGGCUCCUCUGCUGUGCUUGCUGGCUUCCCACUGGGACUUAAUGGAAAGUAAGUCUUCAGAUUUCUUCAAGAUCUUCACUUUUCAUGCUCUAGACCAAGUUGGCAAAUCUACAAAAAAAAUUCUGAAAAUGUCAUUGUUUAUCCGAUUGAUUUGUCUUCAGUGGCCAAGUUCCUGUAAGUGGAUACAACUUGAUCAGCUUAGAGCUGAUAAUUUUAUUAUUAUUUGGGAAUCAUCAGGUACAUUAUCUUCGUAAGCCACUUCUUAGUACCACUACCGUAUGUUGUUACUACAACAUUCUCCUAUUAACGUCUUGCGGACAUUUUUUAGGAAGUGGUUUCCCACAGAGUAACUCAUUUCCAAUGUAAACGGACGGAUCUUCAAACUUCAGAAGCAUCGGUAUCCUCCCUUCCAGCUUAUUGUACGAUAGAUUCAGCUUCUGCAGAGAAGAUAU
RNAcentral lists this long non-coding RNA (1210 nucleotides) under Brassica napus (rape). RNAcentral's name for it is "long non-coding RNA (BNAP_LNC024291)". Lineage: Eukaryota; Viridiplantae; Streptophyta; Magnoliopsida; Brassicales; Brassicaceae. The record is from RNAcentral.